UACGGAGGGUGCAAGCAUUAAUCGGUAUUAUUGGGCGUAAAGGGCGCGUAGGCGGGUUUGUAAGUCAGAUGUGAAAUUCCGAAGCUCAACUUCGGAGCUGCAUUUGAAACUGUGAAUCUAGAGGAUUGGCGGAGAAAAUGGAAUUCCACGUGUAGCGGUGAAAUGCGUAGAUAUGUGGAAGAACACCUGUGGCGAAAGCGGUUUUCUAACUAAUACCUGACGCUGAGGCGCGAGAGCAAGGGGAGCAAACAGG
RNAcentral lists this ribosomal RNA (253 nucleotides) under uncultured bacterium. Its description in RNAcentral is "partial 16S ribosomal RNA". It matches the Rfam family "Bacterial small subunit ribosomal RNA", at positions 524 to 776 of the family's 1533-position model. The record is from RNAcentral.